RNAcentral lists this small nuclear RNA (96 nucleotides) under Nannospalax galili (Upper Galilee mountains blind mole rat). The record is from RNAcentral. Lineage: Eukaryota; Metazoa; Chordata; Mammalia; Rodentia; Spalacidae.
UUGCUUCGACAGCACAUAUAGUAAAAUUGGAACAAUACAGAGGAGAUUAGCAUGUGCAAGGAUGACAUGUAAAUUCCUCAAGCAUUCUGUCUUUAA